GUGUGUGGUUGUAUCAUAUUUUUGUUGCUAGGAUCAAAGCAAGGAACCCAUUGAAUUUUAUAGCUCAUUGGGUAAAAUAGAGCAAAGCCUAACCAAAUAAUAUGCAACUUCUGCAAUAAAAUAGCAGUUCAACAUAGAGCAAAAGCCAUUUUUGCUUUCUAUUUGAGGCAUCAUCAUCCUAGUUGCCUUCAAAAGGGUCAGCUAUGGCACCUAAAAGGAGCAUGGGAGUUCCGCCACCACCGCCACCGUCCGUCCCUGCUGGAAGAUUGUUAAGUCGACAACAAUCAGUGGGUAAAUUGAAGAAAUCAAGCAUAAUGAGUAGUCUUUUUAGAGAAUUGAAAACAAAGUUGGAAGGGUCAAGAUUGCAAUUUAAGCUGUCUAGUAGGACCAAGAAGCAAUUUGGGGGUUCUGCUGGUGGGAAAGAAGGAUUGGCUGCUUUUUUACGAGAGCUAACAAAAAGGUUCCAUUUCUUACUUUCUUUAGUACCUAAAACGAUAAUAUAUAUAUAUAUAUGAAAGCACGAGUUAAAAAAUA
This is a long non-coding RNA of Gossypium arboreum, 534 nucleotides long. RefSeq lists it as uncharacterized. The record is from RefSeq and is a predicted model, not a curated record. The transcript is spliced from 2 exons. NCBI's taxonomy places the organism in Eukaryota, Viridiplantae, Streptophyta, Magnoliopsida, Malvales, Malvaceae.